Pelobates cultripes (western spadefoot toad) is the source of this 291-nucleotide non-coding RNA. NCBI's taxonomy places the organism in Eukaryota, Metazoa, Chordata, Amphibia, Anura, Pelobatidae. The record is from the annotation of a GenBank genome assembly.
ACUGACGGACACGGGAUUCAGUACUGGGAAGAGGUCAAGUUCACAGAUUCUCCUUAAACCAGAAAUCAUUAGGUUUAGAAGAAAUUACAGGGACAACAAAUGUCUUCGGAAUUCCAUACAAAAAUAAUGGCACACUUGUCACCAGUAAAUAUUCACAGUACAAGAAAGGAGGCAUCCGGGAAAGAAAAUGGUUUUGUUAGCCCUGUGUUAAAGGAUCACUCUAUGUACAAUAACAAAUUCUCAUCAUUAGUGUAGAUUUUACCCAUCUACUUAUAACUGUGACAAUUCACC